RNAcentral lists this ribosomal RNA (301 nucleotides) under uncultured bacterium. Its description in RNAcentral is "partial 16S ribosomal RNA". It matches the Rfam family "Bacterial small subunit ribosomal RNA", at positions 509 to 807 of the family's 1533-position model. The record is from RNAcentral.
CAGUAGCCGCGGUAAUACGCAGGUGGCAAGCGUUGUCCGGAAUUAUUGGGCGUAAAGGGCUCGCAGGCGGUUUCUUAAGCCUGAUGUGAAAGCCCCCGGCUCAACCGGGGAGGGUCAUUGGAAACUGGGAAACUUGAGUGCAGAAGAGGAGAGUGGAAUUCCACGUGUAGCGGUGAAAUGCGUAGAGAUGUGGAGGAACACCAGUGGCGAAGGCGACUCUCUGGUCUGUAACUGACGCUGAGGAGCGAAAGCGUGGGGAGCGAACAGGAUUAGAUACCCGUGUAGUCCCUGUCUCUUAUAC